Molecule: ribosomal RNA, 485 nt
Filed under: Sinezona confusa
Lineage: Eukaryota; Metazoa; Mollusca; Gastropoda; Pleurotomariida; Scissurellidae
Description: partial 16S ribosomal RNA
Rfam family: Bacterial large subunit ribosomal RNA
Source: RNAcentral
UGAUUUUAUACUGAUUCAAUGGCCGCGGUAUUUUGACCGUGCUAAGGUAGGACAAUAACUUGCCUCUUAAUUAGGGGAUGGCAUGAAUGGUUGAACGUGAGCUGUCCUGUCUCUAGAGUAGUAAUUAGAAUUUAAGUUUUAAGUGAAAACGCUUAAAUGGUACUAAUAGACGAGAAGACCCUAUUGAGUUUAACACACCUUAGUAUAGUAACAAGUCUCUUGUUAUUACCUCGCAGUGUUUUUAAUUGGGGCUAGUGAAGGAACAGUAAAAAAUUCUUUGUAUGAUUAGUGUUGUUAAUGCUAGGUUGCAUUAAGUUUUAAAGCUAUUAUUUUAUAGCCCGGCAAGGUUACAUGGGCUCCAUUCUGGUGUUAGAGUGAGCAAAGGAGAAAAUUAUCAUAGGGAUAACAGCGUAAUUCCUUUUGAAGAGCACACAUUGUAGAAAGGGGUUGUGACCUCGAUGUUGGAUUAGGGGAUUCGAGAGAUG